GAUGAACCACUUCGGUGGGGAUUAGUGGCGAACGGGUGAGUAACACGUGGGCAAUCUGCCCUUCACUCUGGGACAAGCCCUGGAAACGGGGUCUAAUACCGGAUAUGAGCCUGGGAGGCAUCUCCCGGGUUGUAAAGCUCCGGCGGUGAAGGAUGAGCCCGCGGCCUAUCAGCUUGUUGGUGAGGUAAUGGCUCACCAAGGCGACGACGGGUAGCCGGCCUGAGAGGGCGACCGGCCACACUGGGACUGAGACACGGCCCAGACUCCUACGGGAGGCAGCAGUGGGGAAUAUUGCACAAUGGGCGAAAGCCUGAUGCAGCGACGCCGCGUGAGGGAUGACGGCCUUCGGGUUGUAAACCUCUUUCAGCAGGGAAGAAGCGAGAGUGACGGUACCUGCAGAAGAAGCGCCGGCUAACUACGUGCCAGCAGCCGCGGUAAUACGUAGGGCGCAAGCGUUGUCCGGAAUUAUUGGGCGUAAAGAGCUCGUAGGCGGCUUGUCACGUCGAUUGUGAAAGCCCGAGGCUUAACCUCGGGUCUGCAGUCGAUACGGGCUAGCUAGAGUGUGGUAGGGGAGAUCGGAAUUCCUGGUGUAGCGGUGAAAUGCGCAGAUAUCAGGAGGAACACCGGUGGCGAAGGCGGAUCUCUGGGCCAUUACUGACGCUGAGGAGCGA
This 671-nucleotide ribosomal RNA is filed under the name Streptomyces sp. Its description in RNAcentral is "bacterial SSU rRNA". It matches the Rfam family "Bacterial small subunit ribosomal RNA", at positions 68 to 756 of the family's 1533-position model. The record is from RNAcentral. Lineage: Bacteria; Bacillati; Actinomycetota; Actinomycetes; Kitasatosporales; Streptomycetaceae.